UUCACCAGACGGCAUGCUAUACUGAGCAGUGUGACCCCAAGGAUGAACAUGUUGGUCACCAGGAAGAUAAACACGAGCCUCAAGGUCAUUAGCAGAAGCAGCAAGUUGACGGCCACGUAAAAUAGUGAAAUAAUCGUCAGCCAUAUGAACACCAGAAUGUCCCUCGGUGCCGAUAGGCGUGCCAAAGAAAAUCAAGUACUCAGAAAAGGAAGCAUGCAAGAUAAACAUUGUACCCAUAGCACCACCAGCAUUGUUGUGAACCCAUUCAUCUUGAUUCACAGGAGUAAUUAAGUCUCCGUAUUCAGCAACGAGUCUGUCGC
This is a non-coding RNA of Schizosaccharomyces pombe (fission yeast), 320 nucleotides long. The record is from the annotation of a GenBank genome assembly. NCBI's taxonomy places the organism in Eukaryota, Fungi, Ascomycota, Schizosaccharomycetes, Schizosaccharomycetales, Schizosaccharomycetaceae.